RNAcentral lists this long non-coding RNA (370 nucleotides) under Salvia miltiorrhiza (redroot sage). RNAcentral describes it as "long non-coding RNA (SMIL_LNC003027)". Lineage: Eukaryota; Viridiplantae; Streptophyta; Magnoliopsida; Lamiales; Lamiaceae. The record is from RNAcentral.
ACAACAAUUAUUUCUCAUGAUAUUAUGACUUUCUAAAGCAUCCUAUGUACCCAUUUUUUUCAAUUUUCUCACUUUUCUUUUCUUUUCUUUUUUUUCUUUUUUUCUUCUUUUUUUCAACGACUUGUAGAGUACUAAGAUUUUUUCCAAUCAAGAACAAAAUUCAUAAUUCAUAAUCACACAUCUCCACAACGCCAACUACCCCACAUCAACAAUCUCCAAGUUCCCACCCACGACUAAAUCAAAUAAAAUGGAAAAUAAGGCUCAAAGGGGGCGAACUAGGAUCAUAUAUAGUAAUAGGACAAAUAUGGGAUAUAUAGGCUAGCAAAGAUGGCCUUCUAUCAUCUCAAAGUUAUUAAGCACACUAUGUGAC